Long non-coding RNA from Amblyraja radiata (thorny skate), 513 nucleotides. RefSeq lists it as uncharacterized. The record is from RefSeq and is a predicted model, not a curated record. The transcript is spliced from 3 exons. NCBI's taxonomy places the organism in Eukaryota, Metazoa, Chordata, Chondrichthyes, Rajiformes, Rajidae.
UACAGAUCCAGCAUGAAGAGCGGCGCCGACGAGCCGUGUUUGCCCACCGAGAAGGGCCUCGGGCGGUGAGGCAGCCCCAGGAUGGACAGAAUCUCCCUCUGGAUCUCCCUCCUCUCGUGGUUCCGCAAACGCCGAUUGAUUUAAUUACCCAGCUGCCAUGGUGGGGCCUGAACAUAUGCCUCUCAUCUAUCGCCCAGUCCCGUAAACACUGGUUUGGAAGUGAACCACUAGCCUGCAACGAUUCAGGACUGUGUGUGACUGGGAAAACUCGAAGGUCCCCAUAAGCCUGUCCCUUUGGGCAUUGGAAGCCACAGGCUUUGGAGGCGAUGUUUUUCAUUUGUUUUGUUGGAGAACUGGGCAUCAGUAAUAAAGCCGACAUCUGUCGCCGCUGAACUGCAUUUCAAAGGACAUGUUGGAGGUGCCCAGCGACGUGUAGCCAACCUUCCAGUGGCUGGAGAAGAAGGAGAAUGUGCUGAUGUCGCGGGGUUGGAACAACCCGGAGCGGGGACGUAC